ACUCCUACGGGAGGCAGCAGUGGGGAAUCUUGCGCAAUGGGCGAAAGCCUGACGCAGCCAUGCCGCGUGAAUGAUGAAGGUCUUAGGAUUGUAAAAUUCUUUCACCGGGGACGAUAAUGACGGUACCCGGAGAAGAAGCCCCGGCUAACUUCGUGCCAGCAGCCGCGGUAAUACGAAGGGGGCUAGCGUUGCUCGGAAUUACUGGGCGUAAAGGGAGCGUAGGCGGACAUUUAAGUCAGGGGUGAAAUCCCGGGGCUCAACCUCGGAAUUGCCUUUGAUACUGGGUGUCUUGAGUAUGAGAGAGGUGUGUGGAACUCCGAGUGUAGAGGUGAAAUUCGUAGAUAUUCGGAAGAACACCAGUGGCGAAGGCGACACACUGGCUCAUUACUGACGCUGAGGCACGAAAGCGUGGGGAGCAAACAGGAUUAGAAACCCUGGUAGUCC
RNAcentral lists this ribosomal RNA (444 nucleotides) under uncultured organism. RNAcentral describes it as "partial 16S ribosomal RNA". It matches the Rfam family "Bacterial small subunit ribosomal RNA", at positions 335 to 796 of the family's 1533-position model. The record is from RNAcentral.